This 73-nucleotide transfer RNA is filed under the name Heterocephalus glaber (naked mole-rat). It matches the Rfam family "tRNA". From Rfam's summary of the family: Transfer RNA (tRNA) molecules are approximately 80 nucleotides in length. Their secondary structure includes four short double-helical elements and three loops (D, anti-codon, and T loops). Lineage: Eukaryota; Metazoa; Chordata; Mammalia; Rodentia; Bathyergidae. The record is from Rfam by way of RNAcentral.
GGGGCUAUAGCUCAGUGGCAGAGCACUUUGCUUAGCAUGCACAAGGCCUUGGGUUCAACCCCUGGUACCCCUC